Molecule: ribosomal RNA, 440 nt
Filed under: uncultured bacterium
Lineage: Bacteria
Description: partial 16S ribosomal RNA
Rfam family: Bacterial small subunit ribosomal RNA
Source: RNAcentral
CCUACGGGAGGCAGCAGUGAGGAAUAUUGGUCAAUGGCCGGAAGGCUGAACCAGCCAUGCCGCGUGAGUGAAGAAGUAUUUCGGUAUGUAAAGCUCUGUCAGCAGGGAAGCAAAUGACGGUACCUGACCAAGAAGCCCCGGCUAACUACGUGCCAGCAGCCGCGGUAAUACGUAGGGGGCAAGCGUUAUCCGGAUUUACUGGGUGUAAAGGGAGCGUAGACGGCAGGGCAAGUCUGGAGUGAAAGGCGGGGGCUCAAACCCCGGACUGCUCUGGAAACUGCCAGGCUGGAGUGCAGGAGAGGUAAGUGGAAUUCCUAGUGUAGCGGUGAAAUGCGUAGAUAUUAGGAGGAACACCAGUGGCGAAGGCGGCUUACUGGACUGUAACUGACGUUGAGGCUCGAAAGCGUGGGGAGCAAACAGGAUUAGAUACCCCUGUAGUC